RNAcentral lists this non-coding RNA (76 nucleotides) under Paraburkholderia sp. BL6669N2. Lineage: Bacteria; Pseudomonadati; Pseudomonadota; Betaproteobacteria; Burkholderiales; Burkholderiaceae. The record is from RNAcentral.
AGGAGCCGGAUGAAUCGAGAGAUUCACGUCCGGUUCUGGGAGGGCCUGUGGGUGCGAUUCCCAUGGGCUACUCACC